This 447-nucleotide ribosomal RNA is filed under the name uncultured bacterium. RNAcentral's name for it is "bacterial SSU rRNA". It matches the Rfam family "Bacterial small subunit ribosomal RNA", at positions 1 to 458 of the family's 1533-position model. The record is from RNAcentral.
CCCUUAGAGUUUGAUCCUGGCUCAGAACGAACGCUGGCGGCGUGGAUAAGACAUGCAAGUCGAACGAGAGAAUUGCUAGCUUGCUAAUAAUUCUCUAGUGGCGCACGGGUGAGUAACACGUGAGUAACCUGCCCCCAAGAGUGGGAUAGCCCCGGGAAACUGGGAUUAAUACCGCAUAAAAUCGCAAGAUUAAAGCAGCAAUGCGCUUGGGGAUGGGCUCGCGUCCUAUUAGUUAGUUGGUGAGGUAACGGCUCACCAAGGCGAUGACGGGUAGCCGGUCUGAGAGGAUGUCCGGCCACACUGGAACUGAGACACGGUCCAGACACCUACGGGUGGCAGCAGUCGAGAAUCAUUCACAAUGGGGGAAACCCUGAUGGUGCGACGCCGCGUGGGGGAAUGAAGGUCUUCGGAUUGUAAACCCCUGUCAUGUGGGAGCAAAUAAAAAGA